CAUAUAAUCCUUCGGUCUUAAAAAUUUUGUUUUAUGUUUGUCUAUAAAUAGAUGUAUCUAAAUACUAAGUUGUGACUAGAUACAUUCAUAUAUAGACAAUUUUAAGACAAGAAUUUUGAGACGGAGAGAGUAGUUU
Non-coding RNA from Hordeum vulgare subsp. vulgare (domesticated barley), 136 nucleotides. The record is from Rfam. Lineage: Eukaryota; Viridiplantae; Streptophyta; Magnoliopsida; Poales; Poaceae.